RNAcentral lists this ribosomal RNA (487 nucleotides) under uncultured bacterium. RNAcentral describes it as "bacterial SSU rRNA". It matches the Rfam family "Bacterial small subunit ribosomal RNA", at positions 19 to 507 of the family's 1533-position model. The record is from RNAcentral.
AUGGCUCAGGAUGAACGCUAGCGGCAGGCCUAACACAUGCAAGUCGAGGGUAGAGUUCUUCGGGACUUGAGACCGGCGCACGGGUGCGUAACGCGUAUGCAAUCUACCUUAUACAGGGGAAUAGCCCAGAGAAAUUUGGAUUAAUGCCCCAUAGUGUUAUCGAAUCGCAUGGUUUGAUAACUAAAGUUCCAACGGUAUAAGAUGAGCAUGCGUCCCAUUAGUUAGUUGGUAAGGUAACGGCUUACCAAGACAAUGAUGGGUAGGGGUCCUGAGAGGGAGAUCCCCCCACACUGGUACUGAGACACGGACCAGACUCCUACGGGAGGCAGCAGUGAGGAAUAUUGGUCAAUGGGCGCAAGCCUGAACCAGCCAUGCCGCGUGCAGGAAGACGGUCCUAUGGAUUGUAAACUGCUUUUAUACAGGAAGAAACCCUCCCACGUGUGGGAGCUUGACGGUACUGUAGGAAUAAGGAUCGGCUAACUCCGUG